GUUAAGUUCACUCACUUCACUGCAGGCGGCUCAGUGUUUCAUUGGUUUGAAUCCUGGGCGCGGACAUGGCACUGCUCAUCAAACCACGCUGAGGCAGCGUCCCACAUGCCACAACUAGAAGGACCCACAACAAAGAAUAUACAACUAUGUACUGGGGGGCUUUGGGGAGAAAAAGGAAAAAAAUAAAAUCUUAAAAAAAUAAAAAUAACAAAUAAAUAAAAAUAAAAAAAUAAAAUUAUUUUUAUUUCUACUUAUUUAUCAAUCUUUCUCUCUUUCCCCACUUCAUCAUCUCUUCCCUUCAGUUGUUUUUUUCUUUUCCCCAAAGCCCCCCAGUAUGUAGCUGUAUAUUUUAGUUUUGAGUCCUUCUAGUUGUGGCAUGUGGCUGCCGCCCCAGCAUGGCCUGACGAGUGGCGCUGUGUCCACGCCCAGGAUCCAAACCAGCCAAACCCUGGGCUGCCGAAGUGGAGCACACGAACUUAACCACUCGGCUACGGGGCCGGCCCCUGUUCCCUUUUUUCCCUUGUAGGAUGCCUUGGGAUAUGUGAUCAGUUUUGUGUGUGUGUGUGUGUGAGUUUUUUGGUUAGGAGGGAACAUAAGCCACAUGACCGUCUUUUCGUGUGGCCUGACUAUCUGUUCUUGUGUUUCGGCCAAAGCCUCACGUCUCAGGGAUGUGUUCUCUUCAGCCGCGGCAGAUGAGGCUCAGAUUUGGAGGACCCCCGCAGACAUAAACAUUCGAACGUCCCCUCUUUGAAUACACACUGAAAUAUUUAUGCAUGAAAUGAUAGCAUACAUGGAAAGUGGGUAAGUUACAGAGGAAACCAGAUCGACCACAACCUGACCAUUGUUGAAGCUGGGUGAUGAUACGUGAGGCUUCAUUAAACUAUCCUGACUACUUUUGUAUGUGGUUAAAAUUUUUCCAUAAUAAAAAGCUAAAUAAGAAAUAUACACACUUCUUUGUUUCGUGUUGCGGCAUCCAGGAAGCCAAACUGUUGAGUAUCCACAAAGCAGUAUCCCAAAGCAAUCUUGAGACGUGAGAAAACAGUAAAGUGGAUGCAACAGAAUAAUGUAGUAUACACGGCGGCGUCUCUCUGAGCACACUAGCCUAGGAUGCCCUGCUGACAAGGGAGUCUCUCUUCAUUGCAAGCUGUUAUUUUCCUGGUUGCCUGAAGACUCGACCUUCCGCCUCUCCUUUCCCCUCCAUCUCUCAGCUUGUAAGUUAACCUUCUCCCGUGGGCAGAGAGGGCUGCUCUUUCAGGAACCAGAAAGGAAGGAUGACAGAGCCCUCCAAAGCAGUGGUUUUCUUUCUUUCUUUUGUGCCACAACUCAGAGUAAGAAAUAGACUUUUUAUCAUCACAUACAAACACAACUGACACAUAAGUUUCACAAAAUAACACCCUUUACUCAGUGAGGUAUGUUCUCAUAUUUUCUGUUCUUGUUCUAUUCUAGGCUAGUCUAUUCCAAUAUUUUAAAAGGCUAUUGUGAUCCACUAAAUUGAUUUUGGGAUCACUAAUGGGUUGCAGCCUGCAGCUUAAAAAAAGUAUGGUUAAUGAAAAGAUACACUGGGCGGGAAACUUAACAUAUAAAAUAUCUGGCAAGGGGGUGAAGUCUCAGGCAGUUGGAUCUCAUUUGUAUCUGACAGUGGAAAAGGCCUCCACACUUUCUCUAAGUGGGUGGAAGGUCAGAUCCACAGUGCUAGCCAAAGAUUGACUCAAGUAUUAAAUUUCAGCAGAUGUUAACUGAUGUGCCUAUCAGCAGGGAGAAAUCCCAAGUCACAGGCUCAAGAUGGGACUGUGGUUGCAGUGGGCUCAGCCACAUACCAUUUUGUAGUUUCAUGGUGGUAAAGAAGGGAGCGGCCCUGUUGUUCACGCCCCACCACGGCUGUUGCUCAGUGGAGGCACCAGACGAUGGUGUGAGGCCAGGCAGACCUGAGGUGCGACACCAUAAACUCCUGAUUGCGAUUUAGAAAGAUCACCUAACCUUCCUGAGUCUAAGUUUUUCUCAUCAGAACAAGGAUAAUACUAUAUAAAAUGAGAUAAAAUAUAGCAUCCAGACAGAACCUGACCUGAGGGCAAACCCUCAAGGAAUGUCCUCAAUCUCUUCUUCUACUAACACAGAGGCCAUAGGAAGUUUCCUUCAAAGACUGCUCACUCUGGUGCUCUGUAUGACACAUCUGUCACCUCCACUUGGCCCAGAGGUUUGCUGGCCAAGAAAGGCAGAACUCACAAAUAGAAAUAAGCACAAAGUGCCAACUAACCAAGAGAGCAGCCACAUUUCCAGGCUGUCACCUAGGGAACAUCGCUCACCAGCUUUAGGACUCCAGUCGCUCAGUCACGAAGUGGAGAUAGGGGAAAUGCUACGUACUUCCAAAACUCUUGGCUUGUAUUUGUUAAACACAUUCUGCUUCCUGGACCCAGACUCAGACCCAUUGAAUCAUAAGCGUCCCAAGCCAAUGCCCAGUAAUUCAGCAAGUCCUUUCAAGUCUGCUUCCUAAAUCUCUCUUCGAGCCGUCUCAUUGCUUCUCCGCGCUGCCCCACCUCUACACCUGUCGGCUGGACUCCUGGCUUCCAGUUGUGCUCCUUCUCCAUGCAGUCUCCACUCUGCAGCCAGGGAGAUGGUUUUACAAUGCAAAAGUGACACAGAGACUUUAUGCAGAACUUCCAGUGACUUCUCUAUGCCCUUGGAACAAAGUCCAAACCCCUGACAUGUCUGUCCCCAAGGCUCAUCUUGAUCUGGGUAGUAGCAACCUUUGCACCUUCCUUUUUGAGCACCUGCCCCAGCCUCGUACUGCCAAUUGAGAGGCGGCAGGGACAGUGUCUCUCCUGCUAUUGAUCUUGGCCAACGCCCAGCACACGGCCUGGUGCACCCCAGGCACUGAGAGAAAGAGCAGUUAUUGAGCACCAACUCAACCUUUUCCCUGAAAUUAUAGUAAGUGACCUAUUUCUGGACACAAUAACUUCCACAUCCUAUUGCAAACUGUCUCUUAAAGUCUCUGUUGUAUUUUCUGCUGGUUGGUUAGGGAAUAAAUCAAUUGUAUUAUAGUUUCCAUCAUUUUAUAUUUCGCUACAAAGAUGGUGUCAAGGAUUUUUUUGGAGUUUGGAGAACAAAUAUAGUUUUGGUGCCUUUCCCACACUCCUCUAAAUACUCUGCGUGAACACUCUCAGUUACUCGUUAUUUCUAAAGCCUAGUCUUGCACAGACACAAUGGCCGAAGGUUCCCUUUAGCAGGAAGAAUGUCAUGCCUUAUGGUUUUUACACGCGUGUAAGCGUUUAAGUAUUUAAGUGCUUUGUGCUCUGAUUAGAGGUGUCUGUGUGUGAAGUGCUCUUGAACAAAAGUUGCGGGUGGUCAAAUGCACUUUAAUUGAAUAAUGUUCCAUAAUUAAGGCAAAACCACUUCACCUAAACAAUUAGCGUGAAGUGGUAACAGCAGCGGAGUUAACAGAUUUGCUUUUAUUUCAUCUGUGCUACUGGCGUUACGGAACAACAGAACUCUGGUGACUGCUGUCCUGCAGAACCUCAGCUCAGCAGUUUCGGCUCCAGGCCGUGCUAGGGCCCACCGCCCAGCUGCCUUCCUAAGGACGCGUCAAAGGCCGCGCUCACCGGGUCGAGUUCCCCCGACGGUUUAUUCAUAAGAUUGAAGAAGCAUUCAAAAUGGAGAGUUCUGAGGAGAAUGUGGGCAGUUUCCCCGAGAAUAGUGGUGCAUACUGGAAGAGAUCUCAUUCACAGAUUUUUCUAGAAUAGUGAUUUCCAAGUCACUGCUGAUUCAGGAUGCUCCCAAGUCGUUGGUGUGGCAGCUACAGGUGAGACCAGCUAGCCUGGGCAUCAGUGUAGGCAAAGGAAUGGUUGGUUGUUAGUUAGUGAAGCAGGUAACAGAAAACCCGAUUUACAAUGGCUUAAAGAACACUUUUCCCACAUAACUAUCCAGAAGUAGGGAAUUAUUUGCAUUGGUUCAGUAGGUCAAAGAUUUAGUCUGGGCGCUCUGGCACUUUCUCUUCUGGGUCUGCUGUCCUGAGUUUAUUGGUUUCCUCCUUGGACCUGUCACCUGAUGGUCACAAGCUACAGUUUCAGCCAUGCAUCAGCAUUCCAGGUAACAAAAAAGGGAGAGGAUACAGGCAAGCCACUGCAUCCCCGUCAUCAAGAGAACACAAAGCUUUCCCACAUUCUCCUACCCGCAGGCGUCUGCUUGGCUGGAACUGGGUCACACGGCCUGCGGGCUCCAGGGAGGCUGGGAUACUGGGGGACAAGACUGUCGUAUUUUCCCUAAACCCAUUCCUAUCAGGACAAAUCCCUCCUUUUAGAAAACAAAUAUUUUGUAACACUACUUUAUCCUGAAAAGCAAUGAAGAUCAUAUAACCCAACUAUAUCCAUAAUUUCAGAGUAAUGCCCUAACUAUAACAUAAAAAUAAGAAAUAAGAGGCAGGUAGUUUAAAAUAAAAUAUUAUGCAUUUCAGUGCAUAAUUGCCUCAGUGUGCCUCCACUAGAAGACACUGUCAUAGUCAGAUGUUGCACCUAUUUAUAAGAAAUGGUUGAGAAAAAAAAGAAAGAAGAUCAGAAGAUAUUCCACACAAGGACGGGAAGGUGAAAGAGCAGAGGUUCAAGUGCUCACUAGAAUACAAACCAGUGUAAGUAUAAGUAGUAACAAACCAGACUUGUUUGCAUAUGACAAAAGAAAGAGGGAGAAAAACCUUAACAGUCCAGACAAAUUACAGCCUAUGGAAGUGGAAGCGGUGAGGACUGUGACAUUCUCUCAGUAAGCUGAGCCUUAUUGCUAAAUGCAGCGUCAGAAUAAUUCUUUCUUUACUACAUGGGACAGGGAACGAAGUGCCAUAGAAAACCCAUUUACUAUUUAUAGAGUGACGUCUCAAAGACACAUCAAGAUAGACGCUUAGCCUUGAGGACCUGAAAAUCCCUUGGAGGCCUUGUGUUUCAAUAAGCAAUGGACUAGAAGGUGUUUUAGAAAAAAUAAUAAUAAAAAGGGCUGUAGAGAAGGUGUUUGGUGCAAUUCUGGCAAGAGGAUCAAAAUAAGCUUGAAAAACAAUAGGCAACCCCAAAAUAAAUAAAUGUCGUUAUUCUCACAAUAAUCCUAUCAUUACGCUAAAGAAAAAAAAUUUUAAAUACGGAUGACAAACACGAAAUUAUUUUGAAAACAAUUUUUAAUUAUGAAUUUAAUUCAAAUACUUGUGUUUCAUGCCUCUCCCUUUAUUUAAUAACAGUUGAGUCUAAGUCUUUUAACGGAGACUCAGAUCCCCUCAAUCCCACGCUCACACGUGACAGCUGCCUUGUUGGGGUGUGGCACUGUCAACUCAGACGGAGGAGUGAUGCCUGGCAGUGAUGCUAUUUUCUGUAAUUUGAACAGCUCCUGGUAAAUUUCAAAACAUAGCACAAACAACAAAGCAUAGCACAAUCUUUCUUAAAUUUACGCAAUAGCUGCAUUCUUGGAAAAUUUUAGUGUUUGUUAAAGCUGUGACACAAAUAUUUUGUGCUUAUAUACAAAAUGGAGUUAGAUUGUUGGGUGCAGAUGACACAGUUUUCUCUCCAUGAAUUUCCGGUGGGCUUAGAGCAUACACAGGGCUGGGCUUUGUGCUACACAACUCUCCCACACACGCAGGGCACCCAGCACCCCCUGCUCUCUGGCACCCUUCAAUCAUUCAGACAUUUACAAGCCCCUCCACACACACACACACAUUCCAAAGCACCUCCUGGUGUGGUUAACAGCCUUCCCAGAGAACCACCAGCUUAGGUGAAUCAUGGCCACCUUGGGUUGCCCACAAUGGCCCCAGGAACAAAAACACUGUUCUGGAGGCAAGGAGGAAGGGGGACAGACACUGCGGGCCAAUGAUGAUGUCAUGUCUGCCACAGGGAGUGAGUGGAAGGGAACUCAAGCAGGUCCCUUCUAAAACCCCUUAUCCUGGAGAAGGAGAGGCUGCAGGGAUGAGCGUCCACAGGGAAGGCGAAGGCGGCGAUCGGAGGACCUGAGGUAAGGUGUGACAGCUCAGUCCCGCCCGUGCCAGAGCCUCUGUACCGUGAGAAGGCGUCUGCGGCUCCCAGCAACGGCAGAUGGUGUCUCCAAAUGUGAGGCGGGUUCCCAGGGAGGGCGGUGGUGGCCAGGGCAGGGUAAGAUGCCCCAUGGACCUUGGGCUGCCCAACAAACUCGGAAAAGGAAGUGCAGCAUGGGGCUGGACUGCUCCAAAGCUGCCUCCAGCUGUCGAGUGCACUGACUUCCCACUUGCAACCAGACUUCUCACGUGGGAAAGCAGAACCACAGACAAUCUCGUCAUUCCCCUCACUAGGACUGCGGGGUUAAUGAGCCACACAGCUGCUGUUGGAAUCUGUCUCACCUCCCAACACUGGGCACACAGGAACAGCCCCUCUUUGUGGAGAAAAACCACCUGACAUACUGAAAUAUCUUUUUUAAGACGAAAGAGGGGGUUGGCCUGAAAAAUCAGAGCAAAACUGUUCCCUUCUGGAAGUAUCGCCUCAUGCCCAUUAUGAAGCCGUAAACCACCUCUAAUUUGUAUCCUCAGAGUCAAGGGUGCAUUGCCCCCAAGACGUGGGAGCAGUCAGACAGAAAAGGGGAGCACUGGGGCAGGAAGAGUGAUGACAGGUAGAAGACACAGCCGCCACGUCUGGACAUGCGUGGAGGCAGAUGGACAUGGUUGAUGCUAAACCAGGGCAAGAAGACAUGGAGACAUUUCCCCACAGUUGAAGAGAGAGAAAAAUGACACCAAGAGGUGAGAAACCACGAGGCAGAAGUCCAGGAGAUCUACACAUAUAAAAUAGAAACUUCCAGAAUGAGCAAACAGCAGAUGCAGCAAUUAAAUCUGAGUGCAAAGUCACUGUUCUUUUCUUUAUACUUUUUGCUUUGCUUUCUUUUCCUUCAAAUUUUCAUUGAAUGUGCCACUUAUAAACUCAGAAAACUAUAAAAGCACACAAUUAAGACAAGAGAAUCUGUUAAGAGGCCCUAUUGUCUUCAUCUUUCAGAAGAGAAGGUCUUACAGAGCCAGAGGGGAUCCCAGGCUGAAGGCCAGAAAUGAUCAGGUGUGACCCGUUUCACCCAAAGGGGAACACGAGCUCCGAGAGAAAGGUCUUCGCUUGUUCAUGUUUGCUCCCAGCUUCCCUUGGCCUCUGGGGAAGGCAGACCUGGUUCCCUGCCUGUGGUGCCCCCAGCAGCCUUCCACUCAGUCCAGUACAACCUCCCUUAUCUCAUUGACUGGGGCUCCCAGCUGGAGGGGAUCCAACCUCGUAAUGUUUAAUUCUAGAGCCUCUUGCACAGCCAGAGCUAGGGUCUGGAGUCUGGGGCUGUGAGCUUGAUAGCGAACCUGAAGUGAGUUCGCUCACCCCUUGCGCAGCAAGCCAAUCUUUGACUCCGGGAAGAAAGUAGGACUUUACUAUUGCACAGCGCUGAGCAAGGACAAAGGGCAGUGUGGGGACCUGGAAACGGCCACCCCAAGAUAUGUCUCUUUGGCAUGAGGAUUAUUUGAGGCUGGUUUCUUUGCAGACAGGAAAGCAACUGAAAAGUAGAACUUGCUUACCCUUUUGUUAAGAGACAAUUACAUUGUAAAGGAAAUCUCCAUCUGUAAAGAUAUCCCCCUCUCUACCAGGAAGAAGGGCAGAUGACCUUAUCUCUAGAAACUCUUAAUCAAUAACAAAGGCAAGGACUUAAAUCUGCAUUUUAUUGUGCUUGUCUGGUAACCUCCUGUAACUACUUCCCUCCCCCUCCCAACAUUGGCAUUUCUUUAAGGAUUAAGCAUCUUUCCUUAGGCUAGGAACUGAUUGCUGCGCUCACCUGUGACCGCCCAGCUCCAGACAAUUGACUUGCCUCCUGCUAUGCCCUCCGAGAUAGCAGACCCACUGUGGGAGGGACAUUUCAAUCAUAUGUGAAACGUCCUGUUUGGGGGUAUAUAACCACUCUGUAUACCUCACUUCUUCAGUGCCCUUUCUUCCUUCAGGAAGAAAUUCCCCGGGCUGUGGUCCUCAUAAAGCUUUGUUUAAUUUUCUCUUGCUAUUCUGUCUCAUGUGAAUUUAAUUUGUUCUCCGGCCAGAUGAACCCACAUUAGGUAGAGGAAAAGUCUUCCUCCCCUACAGCAGCUAAGGCUGAAAUCCCAAACUCCCUGGAAAGCUGAAAGAAAGGGUUUUUAUUUGGGGUUUUAGGUAGGGGGAGCAUAUGGCCUUGCUGGUCGGAGCUUGCCCACCAGCCUGUCUUUGGCCUUGAGACAACUUGCAGAGAGGAGGGAGCCUGUGACCUUGGCUGGUCAGCAGCUUUUGCACCAGCCUGUAUCUCUUUGUGGGGAAGAGAUAGUGAAUGCAGGUGCUUGUCCUUGGCCAUUUGUCUCCAGGGAGGAUAGUGGAUUCUGGAGCCAGGAAACCAGGGAGUAAGCAGGAAUAAGUUCUUUGGUUUUAACUUCAUGUAUGCUGGGUUUGAUGUAGGGAAAUUGAUAGCAGGGCUGGUAUCAAGCUCAUAUGGCUGACGGGGAAAAGUUUGGAGGUCUGAUAUCUGGAUGAGUCUGUGACUUUUAUGCAGUGGAAGCUCCAGACAUUCUGUCUCAGGGAAGCCCUGGCCUCAGUGGCUGGUCCUCAGGUAUUCAGGUUGCAAGAUAGGGCCUCAAAGCAACUCUCACAACUGGACAACAGCGUGAAUCACUUGUUCUGUUGGCAGUGUGUAGGUGAAAGGAAGAGUCACUUACCGAAUGGAUUUUCCAGUGGUCCACAGUGUUCUUUUAAGUAGAGGUCCAUCUACUGAUGAAUGGAUAGCCAGAAUGUGGUAUAUCCAUAAAAUGGAAUAUUAUUCAGCAAGAGAAAGAAAUGAAGUACUGAUACAUGCUACAGUAUUCGUUGGACCUUGAAAACAUGCUAAUUGAAAGAAUCCAUUCACAAAGGACCACAUAUGGUAUGGUUCCAUUUGUUUGAAAUGUCCAAAAUAGGCAAAUCUAUAGAGUCAGAAAAUAGAUUAGUAGUUGCCUCCGGAUGCUGGUGGGGUGGGGAGAUGGAGUGAUGGCUAAGAGGUAGGGGUUGUCUUUUUAGGCUAAUGAACUGUUCUAAAAUUGACUGUGAUGGGGGGUGCAUAACUGUGUGAAUACACAAAAAGCCCUUGAAUGGUACCCUUUAAAUGGUUGAGUCAUAUGGUAUAUGAUUAUAUCUCAAUAAAGCUGUUAAUAAAAAGGAGCUACAGGCUGUCACCCUUCUCUGGGCACGUGCUUACUUGAGAACGUUGCUGUCAUCUCCCCUCCAUGAUGCUCAGAGUCCUGGAUCGUGCUUCUGCUCUUGACGCCUCACUUGUGUUGCCCUAUUUAGAAUCUCCUGUUUUUAUUGAGCUCAGCUUUUCAACUGACUCUCAACUGUGCUUGCUCUUAAUUUUGGCAAGUCUGCCAACCUUGGGUGAGAAACCCCUGUUGCUUCUCCAGCCCCCUGGAGCCUCAUCAGCAGCCUCACCCAUGAUCUUACAUCACAGAUGGGGACUUCAGCAGAGACAGACUGGCAACUCUCUUCGUUAAUGGCUUUUCCUUAGAAUAGCUAAAGGAGCUAGGUUAUUUAUCAUCACUGCCACCACCUUCUGCGCAUACUGUCCUUUCCCAAGCAGCUUUCCACUCACUGUUGUAGUUGUUUUUUACAGCAAUCCAGUGAAGUGGACAGACUGAGUAUUGUCAUCCUUGAUUUACAGAUGAGGAAACCGAGCCCAAAGUGGUCAGCUGACUUGCUCCAGGUCACACACUGGAUCACACAACUCAGACCCUCUGAUUCCGGCUCCACUGUUCUUUCCACUGAUGCAGGACUCUACCACACGAAAUUCUUCAGCAUGAAUCCUUUACUCUAAAUAAAUUAGUUUCUUUGAUCUCUGCUCUGCACAUGUACUGAGCAAUUACUAUGUAGCAGACACUGCCAGGUGCUGGAGAAACAUUUGGGAAAAAGACACGGUCUCAGCACAACAGACUCUCAGAGGCGGUUGACAUGCCACCUGCUUCUCUUUCUUCAAUGUUACCACAGGUGCCUGCCACAUCCCUCACUACUACCCACACAUGGCAUGACUUCUGUCUCCUCUCCACCAGCUCAGUGACCACUUCACCUCAAAGGCUCCCUCCCUAGGACAGCACACCUUCCUGAUAAUACACAAUCUUCAGGGAUCUUUCUCUGCUUUCCUUUAGUGUUCCUUACAGUUUUUAAGUGGAGGCUGAAAAAGGGAAAAUAAAUUAUCCUUUAAGUUCAAAAGGGCUCAGAGCAGAGACGUGCAAAGUCACUUUAGAGAUAGAUAGUGGCUCCCAGAUAGCCAGACUGCUGAUGACUUAAUCAAAUGUCCUAAAGAAAGAAAGUGUCAUUAAGAGGGAAUUGGUUGGCCAUGGAAAUUAGAAGAAGAAGAGUGGCUGAAGCAAAUAUUACUAGCGCCCACUCAAACACUACCCAGGGAAGUGAGUGCCCAGUCAAUGUUGGGGACAGGAAGAUCUAUUGUAGAGAUCGUCCAAUGGGCCAUCCAAAUCUGCUGGGACCAAGCCCCUGACUCCUUUAAUCCUGCCCCUUGCUCUGACUCUAGACAGAUCAGAUGACCACUAGCUAAACUGGCUUCCCUCGCCUGCAGGAAAGAAUGGGCUGCUCGGGCUGAUGUGUGCAUCUAGCCCAACUGACUGCUCUAUUUCUCACUGGAAAUUACUAAGUGAGUAUGUGGCUUUGUACGUCAGCCUUUUAUGACCAUGAGUCAGCCUUCAGUCAAAUCUGGGGCCCUCUCAAGACUGAGUGUCUGACCAGCCAAGGCCAAAGGCAGGACUCUGGACCACUAUAAAUGGCCAAGGAAAAUGGUACCUCAAGCAGCUGAGUGAGUGACAUGCCUACUUCCUUCAAACCCCUAAACUUAAUGACAAAUGCUGGUUGGUAGAUGCAUUAUCCCAGGGGGAAGGUUUGAAGUAAAAUCUUUACCCUUGCUUGCCAAAGGCCUAAGCACCUCUGUAAUUUUAGUUGUUGUUAUUGAUUUUGCUUGCUAUUGUUUCAGUAAAGCCAAACCAUCGAGGCUAUGACAUUUGACAAGGAUGGAAAGGAUGAUCAUUUAAGCAAACACGCAUUUGAAAAUAUAUUUAGUCGGGCCGGCCCUGUGGCCGAGUGGUUAAGUUCGUGCUCUCCGCUGCAGGUGGCCCAGUGUUUCAUCAGUUCGGAUCCUGGGCGGGGACAUGGGACUGCUCAUCCAGCCAUGCUGAGGUGGCAUCCCACAUGCCACAGCUAGAAGGACCCACAACUAAGAAUAUACAACUAUGUACUGGGGGGCUUUGGGGAGAAAAAGGAAAAAUAUAUAUAUAUAUAUUUAGUCAUAACCAUAUUUGGUGGGCAAUGUCUUUACUCAAUAUUUGAUGUUAUUUUCAACAACUGGCCUUCCUGAAUCCAUUUUAAAGCUCCAAUUUCGCAACUUCAGCAAGAGACCAUCUGCAGAAGUGGGCUGUCCACCGUCUCUGUUUCGCUGGCGUACGGUUCGCCUGUGCAAGGAAGUUCAUUUAAGCCAUUUAUUGGAAGAGGAAUGUCUGGUUUAGUCCAUGGCGACUGCCAGAGGUCACCGUGAACAACCAGCUGGCAUUCUGAAGACAGCUCUGUGCAGAUGCAGAAGGCAUGCUCGUGUGGCUGGGCUCAGCGAUGGAUGAGGAGUCACUUACGAUCAAGACUCUUCGAGCCUCAGAGAGAAGCAUCAGAGUUGGAGGCUAUUCAAAGAAUGUGGGUAAUAUUAACAACGUCAACAAGAAGGAUCUGUAGGUCCGAGGCCCACUGAGCUCCCGGGCGCAUCCAUUCCUCAGUCCUCCACUUUGCCCUCUGUCCACUGCUGGUCUGAUGUCCGUGGAAGUCCUUCCGUGCCAGCACUUCUGAAUCUACGGCUGCCGCGUCACAGAACCUGACUUCUGGUGCAGCCCCGCUUCUGACCUACCUGGGGCGCGUCUGCUUGUCGACGUUGACCGAGGGGUAGCUGUUGAGCGGCCGGUUCCGUCUUUCUGGGUGAAGAAGGGCCCCUCUGCUAACAUUUCGCGACUCUUUUUCAGUCCUGAAAUCAUGACGUCUCUCCCUCGGUCUCCUUUGACUCCCUGAAGAUGCUGAGACAACAUCUCUCUGGGAUGAUUUGGAAGAAGUUUGGUGGCGCCAGACAGUGUCUUACGCUCUAAGAUAAUUAAAAUCAUGAUCCAUAUACAUAUAUGUUAAACAUCUUAUUUUACUCACUAAUCAAUGAAGGAAACAUUGAUUCAAUGAAUCAAUGAAAUAACUCAAAGAACAGCUAUAUUUAUAGAUCAGAAAUAUUGAAAUGAAUGUGUAAAUAGAAGCAAACUGAUUUCACCACAGAGGCUGGGGAAAUCAAUGAGAGCCCUACCAGACAGGACAGAAUUUGCAUGUCAGAGGAUUAUUUUGCAUUACUAUCAAUUACUUACAACUGAAAAGGUUGUAAAGUAGCUCAAAGGUAAUGAAAGAUUAGAAUCAGACGACCCAAGGGCUUUCCUCCAGACAAUGCCUAGUUUCCCAGUAAAGCACAAUUCCUUUCCUACAACCACCACAGCAUCUCUCUCCCCCGGCAGCCAAGCAAGUGCCAGGCAUCGCUCACACUGAAGAGCCUUAAUGCCAGGUUGCUCGGGAUUAACACUAGUUCCAACAUUCCUUUUUCCUUGUUUCUCUCAGGACCACCUGGUUCUUAUGUAGAUGGGGCUCCGGGAGGCCUGCCACGCCUGCCAGGGUUCCCACACGGGGCAGAGAGGUGAGGCCUCCUGUGGGACAGAUGCUUCCUUUGUGUUGCUGUAUUGGGCAGGGGAAUGGUGGAGGUCGAGGACUAGGGGCGGAAGCUGCAGGGGACAGGACAGGACCUGGUUGUGAAGUGUCUUCUGUGCUAUGCUAAGGAUUUUGGUCUUGACCCCAAAGGCAGUGGAGAACAACCAUAGUCUUUUGAAGAGGUUAGUGAAGUGAUCAGGGCUGGAUUUGAAUGAGAUAACUGGAGGUGGCACGAAG
Molecule: long non-coding RNA, 12947 nt
Filed under: Equus caballus (horse)
Lineage: Eukaryota; Metazoa; Chordata; Mammalia; Perissodactyla; Equidae
Description: lncRNA (ENSECAG00000029529.2)
Source: RNAcentral